GAUGAACGCUGGCGGCGUGCCUAAUACAUGCAAGUCGAGCGAACGGACGAGAAGCUUGCUUUUCUGAUGUUAGCGGCGGACGGGUGAGUAACACGUGGAUAACCUACCUAUAGGACUGGGAUAACUUCGGGAAACCGGAGCUAAUACCGGAUAAUAUUUUGAACCGCAUGGUUCAAAAGUGAAAGACGGUCUUGCUGUCACUUAUAGAUGGAUCCGCGCUGCAUUAGCUAGUUGGUAAGGUAACGGCUUACCAAGGCAACGAUGCAUAGCCGACCUGAGAGGGUGAUCGGCCACACUGGAACUGAGACACGGUCGAGACUCCUACGAGAGGCAGCAGUAGGGAAUCUUCCGCAAUGGGCGAAAGCCUGACGGAGCAAAGCCGCGUGAGUGAUGAAGGUCUUCGGAUCGUAAAACUCUGUUAUUAGGGAAGAACAUAUGUGUAAGUAACUGUGCACAGCUUGACGGUACCUAAUCAGAAAGCCACGGCUAACUACGUG
This 497-nucleotide ribosomal RNA is filed under the name uncultured bacterium. Its description in RNAcentral is "partial 16S ribosomal RNA". It matches the Rfam family "Bacterial small subunit ribosomal RNA", at positions 28 to 507 of the family's 1533-position model. The record is from RNAcentral.